CUGGCUCAGAACGAACGCUGGCGGCGAUGGAUUAGGCAUGCAAGUCGAACGGGAGCAGCAAUGCUCCAGUGGCGCAAGGGUGAGGAACACGUGAACAACCUGCCUUCGAGUUGGGGAUAGCUUCUGGAAACGGGAGAUAAUACCGAAUAACAGUCACCGGAUCGCAUGAUCUGAUGAUCAAAGCAGCAAUGCGCUUGAAGAGGGGUUCGCGUCCCAUUAGCUAGUUGGUGAGGUAACGGCCCACCAAGGCGAUGAUGGGUAGCUGGUCUGAGAGGACGAUCAGCCACAUUGGGACUGAGAUACUGCCCAGACUCCUACGGGAGGCUGCAGUCGAGAAUUUUGGGCAAUGGACGAAAGCCUGAACCCCCAGCAAUGCCGCGUGCGGGAUGAAGGUCUUCGGAUUGUAAACCGCUGUCAAGAGGGACGAAAUUUGACGGUACCUCUGGAGGAAGCCACGGCUAACUACGUGCCAGCCGCCGC
This 480-nucleotide ribosomal RNA is filed under the name uncultured bacterium. RNAcentral describes it as "bacterial SSU rRNA". It matches the Rfam family "Bacterial small subunit ribosomal RNA", at positions 19 to 518 of the family's 1533-position model. The record is from RNAcentral.